Molecule: RNase P RNA, 460 nt
Filed under: Deltaproteobacteria bacterium
Lineage: Bacteria; Pseudomonadati; Myxococcota; Myxococcia
Description: RNase P RNA component class A
Rfam family: Bacterial RNase P class A
About the family: Ribonuclease P (RNase P) is a ubiquitous endoribonuclease, found in archaea, bacteria and eukarya as well as chloroplasts and mitochondria. Its best characterised activity is the generation of mature 5'-ends of tRNAs by cleaving the 5'-leader elements of precursor-tRNAs.
Source: RNAcentral
UGAAGGGGAAGAGAUGGCCGCUCCUCAUUCCUCUCUGCAAAGAGAGGCAAUCGAGGGGAGGAAAGUCCGAGCUCCACAGGGCAGGGUGGUCCGUAACGCGGACGGUCCUGUCUCCCAAGAGACAGGAUAAGGAAAGUGCCACAGAAAAUAUACCGUCCCGGCGAAAGUCGGGAUAAGGGUGAAAAGGCGAGGUAAGAGCUCACCAGUGCACCGAGUGAUCGGAGCAGCUUGGUAAACCCCAUCCGGAGCAAGACCAAAUAGGCCCCGUUCCCCUGCUUCAUGCGGGGGUGAGAAAAGCCCAUUCAAAUUUAUUCCCGAUGUUGAUGCAUCGGGAAUAAAGGCGGGACGGGUAAGGUCGCUUGAGGUCCUGAGCAAUCAGGAUCCCAGAUAAAUGGCCAUCAUUCCAACUCCCCAUCGGAGAGCUGGGAUACAGAACUCGGCUUACGGUCCCCUUCAAACU